AACGAACGCUGGCGGCAUGCCUAACACAUGCAAGUCGAACGAGACCUUCGGGUCUAGUGUCGCACGGUUUCGUAACGCGUGGUAACCUGCCCUUAUGUUCGGAAUAACUCCCCGAAAUGGGUUCUAAUACCGGUUCAUGUCUUCGGACCAAAGAUUUAUCGCCUUUGUAUGGGCCCGCGUUGGAUUAGCUAGUUGGUAGGGUAAAAGCCUACCAAGGCUACUAUCCAUAGCUGGUCUGAGAGGAUGAUCAGCCACACUGGGACUGAGACACGGCCCAGACUACUACGGGAGGCAGCAGUGGGGAAUAUUGGAAAAUGGGCGAAAGCCUGAUCCAGCAAUGCCGCGUGAGUGAUGAAGGCCUUAGGGUUGUAAAGCUCUAUUAAACGGGAUGAUAAUGACAGUAACGGGAGAAUAAGCACCGGCUAACUCCGUG
Molecule: ribosomal RNA, 433 nt
Filed under: uncultured bacterium
Lineage: Bacteria
Description: partial 16S ribosomal RNA
Rfam family: Bacterial small subunit ribosomal RNA
Source: RNAcentral